Molecule: ribosomal RNA, 253 nt
Filed under: uncultured bacterium
Lineage: Bacteria
Description: partial 16S ribosomal RNA
Rfam family: Bacterial small subunit ribosomal RNA
Source: RNAcentral
UACGAGGGGGGCAAGUGUUGUUCGGAAUCACUGGGCGUAAAGGGAGCGUAGGCGGAUGCUUAAGUUGGAUGUUUAAAACCGGGGCCCAACCUCGGAGCGGCAUCCAAAACUGGGCGUCUUGAAUGGAACAGAGGCUAGUGGAAUUGGGGGUGUAGCGGUGGAAUGCGUAGAGAUCCCCAAGAACACCAAUUGCGAAGGCAGCUAGCUGGGUUCACAUUGACGCUGAGGCUCGAAAGCAUGGGGAGCAAACAGG